CUAUGGCCCCUGGGAUGUAUUGCCCUUUAAAGACAUGAUUUGGGCAUAAUGGAUUUGUGUUGUGCUGCUGCUGGCCCUUUAAGAACCAUCUGGAGACAUACUGUGGAGUUACUGGGUGGCCACCAUUUCCUGUAUCAGAAGCACAUGGUGAGAACAAUGGAUGGCGGCCAUUUUAACUCACAGACACUGUUUGGACUUUUCAACACGGUGCCAUCUCGCCAGUAUUUGGUGCACAGAGACAUCGUGCAGUGGUUUUGGACUAUACAGCAGGGGAC
This is a non-coding RNA of Pelobates cultripes (western spadefoot toad), 275 nucleotides long. NCBI's taxonomy places the organism in Eukaryota, Metazoa, Chordata, Amphibia, Anura, Pelobatidae. The record is from the annotation of a GenBank genome assembly.